GCUACUGCGUGGAGAAUUACCAGAAGGCAGGCACGAAGGGGAAGAGGAAGACCGAGCAGAAGGCUGAUGUAAUAUUGCAAGUAAAAAAUCAAGGCUACUGAUAGUGGAAAUGGAGAAAAGGGUAAAUAAAAAAUGUAUCCUGGAGCUAUAAUUUCUAUUUACACAAAUGCUUGUAUAUUUAUAUAUAUUUAUUUUAUCCAGGAGAUACAAUUUAUGUGUAUCUUACAGAUAGAGCUACUGGAUGAGUUCGAGGGGUGUGUAAUCCAGGAAUGUGUAUUUGGUGCCCUCUAUUGAGCAGGGUUAACACCAGCUAAUGGGGUAGAGAUGAGCUUGCGUGGGAAGGCAGGAUCAAGCAUACAGUUGCGUUAACUUUGACAUCUGUGAUAUAGCUGAGCGGCGAUUUCAAGAAUUCAGCCAGAUACACAAGCAUGGUUGUCAGAGGAGGGUCCUGGACUGAAAAUACAUCUUCAAGAGAAUGAAGAGGAUUGUAUUAGCGGACUUGAGCUAUCCUAACAAAAUAUCACAGACUGGGUGACUUAAACAACAGAAAAAAGUUUAUUUUCUCACAGUUCUGGUGGCUGGAAGUCUGAGCUAAAGGUGUUCAUAUGACUGUUUUUCUCUGAGGCUUCUCUCCUUGGCCUGCAGAUGGCUACUUUCCCUCUGUGUCCUCAUAUGGCCUCGCCUCUGCGCAUAUGCAUCCUGGUGUGCAAAUUUUGUCUUCUUGUAAGGACAACAAUAUGACUGAAUCAGGACCUACCCUAAAGGCCUCAUUUUAAUUUAAUCACCUCCUAAAAGGCCUACCUCCAACUAGUCACUUACUAAGAGUUAAGAAACUUCAACAUAUGAUUUUCAAGGGUCACAAUUCAGCCAUAACAAGGGUCUUUCUAUCCGUCAUAAUCAAUGAAAUCACUUCAUGAAAGACUGNNNGGGGGGGGGGGGGGGGGGGGGAUCCUAGAACUGAACCCUGAAGAACUUCAAUAUUUAGAAGGGAAAUUGCCAUCAAAGGGACUGAGAUUACACAUCCAGAGAGACGAUGAGGAGAGUACUGCAUUAGAGACGGCAAGAACAAAUUAUGCUUCAGGUAAGGAGUGGUCAACACUGACAAAUGACACUCAGAGACCGAGGAAAAUGGGACUGAGAUGCUCCCACUGGGUUUGUUCCAAGGAACGGGUCUUGGGAUUUUGACUAAAACUCUUUUAAUGGUGGGAGGGGCAAAACGAGUGGGUUCAAUAUGGAAUGCGAGAUGAAAAUAGAGACGAGAAAUGUGUCUCUCUCCAUAUUUAAUUUUUUAUCAUAAAAACCAUAAUUUUUAUAAUAACGAAAAGAAUCAAGUAAAGAAAGAAGAUCUGAUAAUUGACUCAACAAGGCCUUGAGAAAGCAGGUGAGGAUGGGAUCCAGAGUACAAGCAGAGGGGUUGGCUUUUGAUAACAGAAAAUCAUCUUUUUGUCUUGUAACAGAAGGAAAAAAAAAAAAAAAGGAAAGAGCUACAGAUGGUAGUAAUUUUAUAGGCUUGAUGGUAGGAAAUGAGCUAUGCCUCUGAUUGUUUCCAUUUUCCAGAGAGGUUUGAUACAGUGUCAUCAGCCAAGAGGGAGGGUGGGAAAAGUACUACAGGUGAGAAUUGAGGAGAAAGGAUGGUACCCAGAAGCUUGGAAUACCUGUCUAUGGAUGGCACUUAGUCGUCGUUCCCACCACCGCCCUGCCACUCUGUUCUACAACUUUGUGGGCUGCUUCUUUAUAUGCAGCGCCUACCUGCUUCCCUGCGGGGCACUGAUCCAAUGCAAAUUGUUCUUUGGGGCCAAGUAGAGAGAAAAGCUUGAUUGAGAGCCUUUAAAACAAGCAAGGUAAUAAAAGGGGGAAAUUUUUAACUUUUAUUAUAUUCAAAACCAGUAACUUCAAAAGCAAUUAAAUUGAAAACCACAUUUAUUGAGUUAACAAAUCAUGAGUUAAAAACAAUUUAACUUUUAAAGACUUUCAUUGAGUUCGAAAAAUAGUGAAACUACUUUAUUAAUUUAAUUGUUUUGAAGUCAGUGUUUUGGAACCCAAUAAAAGUGUUUUUAUUACUUUCAUUUUCCCAAGCUUUCUUCCAAACCCAGUCCAAUCCCCUUUGCCAGCGGAGCUGGCCCAACUGUAAACAGGGCAGAUGCUACAUAUGAGAAAGAUAUUUCUCACGUCCUUUUCUGACAUUUAAGUUGUUUUUCUAUCCUCUCCUCCAAAAGUCUGUUUCUUCUCGGUCAGUUUAUUUUGACCUCUGUCCUAUGCCACACGUGUAUGUGCAUGUGAGUGUUUGUGCGUGGGUAUUACUGUGUCAGCUGUUAUACGUAUUAGUCGGGGUCCAGUCAAGUGACACGCAGAAAUCAUACGAGCACUUUCCAUUACGAAAAGUGUAAUAUAAAGAAUUGCUAGGUUGUUAAACAUGGUUAAUUACUAAGCAAGGUCAAAGAGGACCCUAGUGAUGAAGAAGAUGGACCGAGGAAGGAACUCAGAAGCGGCUCUCCCCAAGGCUGGGUUCAGACCUCUGAUGGGAGCACUAUGACUACGACAGGAACAUAAGCACCAGUGGGGAAAAGCUGCAGCUGAAUCUCAGGGCCACUGAGUGAAUCCCUGCGAGGAGCAGAAACCAGCUGGACAGCACAGGCCACAGGUGAAAUGAGAAGGCUGCCACUGUACUGGCAGAGGACCAUGCCAGCAGACGUGGGGCACUGCUGCAUAGUGACGUCUUCUAAGGUCAAGGCUACCAACGUCCCUGACCCUAACCCCAAUGGAAAACAGCACACAGAGACAAAGAGGCUUCUUCCUCCUUCUCUAGCCUGGCAGCAUUCCUCUAGCGCCCUCUAUUGGUAAAACCUAACAACAAGCCUGCUGGCCAAGAACAGACAUCAUCACAGUCCAGCUUCAGUAUCAGAAAGGAAGGCAAAGAAGUGUGGGUUCAGAGAUGAGAGAAAAGCAAUGAAUAACUAACUAUCACAUUAAACUACCAUCUCUCGGCUGCAGGCUCACUCUGCAAUCCUCUUGUUCCCUGGGGGCUGGGACGGCAUCCUCCUCUGUAAGAUGACAUACAGAUCAAAGAUUCUCAGAAAACAAAAGACAGUCUCUUCUCACGUCCCCCAACCUCCAUUUAAAUAUGGGGAAGACUGAUAUUUAGGUAAAGUGACAAUCUCCAACAUCUCAUGGUUGGUUAUUAGGACAGCAGAUUUUCUGAUCCCUGGCGCUAUGGUCUUUCCAAUGAUCCUCUUACGCCUGUAGUGAGUCAACAUUUAGAAAAUACCACCUAAUAUGCUUAUGCUCCUUUGUCAAUAUGACUAGUUCUUUCCAUCAUCCACUUAGGACAGUAAAUCUAACUUUUACAAAGAGGUAUAAUACACACUUCUAAAUCUUUUAGGAAAUGGCUAAUAGUUGCAAGGAGAGCUGUCAACGCAGUUUUUUAUUUUUACCAUUUUUUGUCUUUUUGCCUUUUUGCCAUUUCUAGGGCUGCUCCCGUGGCAUGUGGAGGUUUCCAGGCUAGGGGUCUAAUUGGAGCUAUAGCCGGCGGCCUACACCACAGCCACAGCAACACAGGAUCCAAGCCGCGUCUGCAACCUACACCACAGUUCACAGCAACACCAGAUCCUUAACCCACUGAGCGAGGCCAGGGAUAGAACCCGCAACCUCCUGGUUCCUAGUUGGAUUCGUUAGCCACUGCACCACGACAGGAACUCCUGUCUUGGAGUUCUCAUCAUGGCUCAGUGGAAAUGAAUCUGACUAGCAUCCAUAAGGACACAGGUUUGAUCCCUGGCCUCACUCAGUGUAUUAAGGAUCUGGCUUUGCUGUGGCUUUGGUCUAAGCUGGCACAGCUACAGCUCCGAUUGGACCCCUAGCCUAGGAACCUCCAUAUGCCAUGGGUUGGCCCAGCACCUAACACUGGUCACUCUGCUUGCAAAAGUAAACUUUAUCCUGGUUGGUGACUAGGAGGUGACGUUGAUGUUUGCCACUGUGUUCCUCCUCCAGGCGUUUCAAAGUGUUCCAAUAACCAGGAGAGAAACACAGACAGAGGCUAAGAUUCGUGGCUUCAGCAGGCCUGUCUGCAAAAAGCAACAGAAUUUGCUGAGGAAAGCUACUUCUAGCGCUCAUUAGCAGAGAGACAAAAGUGAUACACUGCCUUGAUAAAACAGCCAGGAUGAAAGCCUGCCUAGAGGGGUUUCUGAAUCCCCAGAAGCAGCUGAUCUGAGCCAAACAAACGGGCAGUAGGGAAGCAAGCCAAGGUGACAGAAUUUCAUACAGAGGCUGCUCUGUGCUCUCCCCAGGAAGACUCAGUCGGUCAGGGCCUUUGGUUCUACACAGACAAUGGAACCAGAUGUCUGGUUGGGGUGGGGAGGGUUUCCUUUGCAGUAAGAACGAGGUGCAUCCUGGUGGAAGGGGAGAACCCUGGCCAAGUCCUCCAUCUCCCCUGCCCGUAAGGAAUCCAGGUUUUCCCGAGGUCUUUGUGUUCAGGAGGCCUUUAUAGAAAAAGCAAGGGUUUUAGAAUUUAGACAGACCUAGAUUCAAGUCUAGCCUCUAUGAAUGAUUUAAUCGCUCAGAAUUCAAUUCUUUGUGAAUAAAAUGAAACUACCAGUGCCUACUUGGAGAUUUAUAGGGAGAUUAAAUAAGAUAUGGAAGCAAAGCACCAAGGUCCACGCCUGGUCUAACAAUGCUUGGUGUGGUGUAUCGAUCACUAGUUGAUGCUACUGGUACUACUACUCUACUACUAACUAUUCUCAAUUUUUAAAAGCCCCUUUCUUUUUCCUGUUGGUGUUUUUUUGGCUGCACUCACACGUGCAGAAGUUCCCAGUCCAGGCAUCAAACCUGUGCCACAGCAGCAACAACACUGGAUCCUUAACCCACUGAGUCCUUCGGGAACUCCUAAAAGUCCCCUUCUAAAGGAAGAAUCACGAAAAAGCCAGCUUAUGGAGCAGGUUGUCUAAUAUCAAGGACCAGAGAACACACACAUAAACCACCAUCAUCCUCCCACCCCACACACCUCUCCAUGGCCACCUCCCAACCCUUAAGCAUGAUAGACAGAGGAGCGCCCGCUGUGGUGCAAUGGGUUAAAAAUCUGACUGCCGCAGCUUGUGUCGCUGCAGAGGCGCGGGUUCAACCCCCUGGCCCCACGCAAUGGGUUUAAAGGAUCCAGUGUUGCUGCACCUGUGGCACAGGUCACAGCUGUGGCUCACAUUCAACCCCUGGCCCAGGAACUUCCAUAUGCCACAGUGUGGUCAUUAAAAGGGGGGGGGGGUUCCUCUUGUAAUUCAGCAGUAAUGAACCCAACCAGCAUGCAUGAGGACAUGGGUUCACUCCCUGUCCUUGCUCAGUGGGUUAAGGAUCCAGCAUUGCCAUGAGCUGUGGUGUAGGUCACAGAUGUGGCUUGGAUCUCGCAUUGCUGUGGCUGGCAGCUGCAGCUCUAAUUUGAUCACUAGCCUGAGAACUUC
Molecule: long non-coding RNA, 5441 nt
Filed under: Sus scrofa (pig)
Lineage: Eukaryota; Metazoa; Chordata; Mammalia; Artiodactyla; Suidae
Description: lncRNA (ENSSSCG00065014190.1)
Source: RNAcentral